RNAcentral lists this ribosomal RNA (1693 nucleotides) under Escherichia coli. RNAcentral describes it as "partial 23S ribosomal RNA". It matches the Rfam family "Bacterial large subunit ribosomal RNA", at positions 1270 to 2925 of the family's 2925-position model. Lineage: Bacteria; Pseudomonadati; Pseudomonadota; Gammaproteobacteria; Enterobacterales; Enterobacteriaceae. The record is from RNAcentral.
AUGCUGGAGGUAUCAGAAGUGCGAAUGCUGACAUAAGUAACGAUAAAGCGGGUGAAAAGCCCGCUCGCCGGAAGACCAAGGGUUCCUGUCCAACGUUAAUCGGGGCAGGGUGAGUCGACCCCUAAGGCGAGGCCGAAAGGCGUAGUCGAUGGGAAACAGGUUAAUAUUCCUGUACUUGGUGUUACUGCGAAGGGGGGACGGAGAAGGCUAUGUUGGCCGGGCGACGGUUGUCCCGGUUUAAGCGUGUAGGCUGGUUUUCCAGGCAAAUCCGGAAAAUCAAGGCUGAGGCGUGAUGACGAGGCACUACGGUGCUGAAGCAACAAAUGCCCUGCUUCCAGGAAAAGCCUCUAAGCAUCAGGUAACAUCAAAUCGUACCCCAAACCGACACAGGUGGUCAGGUAGAGAAUACCAAGGCGCUUGAGAGAACUCGGGUGAAGGAACUAGGCAAAAUGGUGCCGUAACUUCGGGAGAAGGCACGCUGAUAUGUAGGUGAAGUCCCUCGCGGAUGGAGCUGAAAUCAGUCGAAGAUACCAGCUGGCUGCAACUGUUUAUUAAAAACACAGCACUGUGCAAACACGAAAGUGGACGUAUACGGUGUGACGCCUGCCCGGUGCCGGAAGGUUAAUUGAUGGGGUUAGCGCAAGCGAAGCUCUUGAUCGAAGCCCCGGUAAACGGCGGCCGUAACUAUAACGGUCCUAAGGUAGCGAAAUUCCUUGUCGGGUAAGUUCCGACCUGCACGAAUGGCGUAAUGAUGGCCAGGCUGUCUCCACCCGAGACUCAGUGAAAUUGAACUCGCUGUGAAGAUGCAGUGUACCCGCGGCAAGACGGAAAGACCCCGUGAACCUUUACUAUAGCUUGACACUGAACAUUGAGCCUUGAUGUGUAGGAUAGGUGGGAGGCUUUGAAGUGUGGACGCCAGUCUGCAUGGAGCCGACCUUGAAAUACCACCCUUUAAUGUUUGAUGUUCUAACGUUGACCCGUAAUCCGGGUUGCGGACAGUGUCUGGUGGGUAGUUUGACUGGGGCGGUCUCCUCCUAAAGAGUAACGGAGGAGCACGAAGGUUGGCUAAUCCUGGUCGGACAUCAGGAGGUUAGUGCAAUGGCAUAAGCCAGCUUGACUGCGAGCGUGACGGCGCGAGCAGGUGCGAAAGCAGGUCAUAGUGAUCCGGUGGUUCUGAAUGGAAGGGCCAUCGCUCAACGGAUAAAAGGUACUCCGGGGAUAACAGGCUGAUACCGCCCAAGAGUUCAUAUCGACGGCGGUGUUUGGCACCUCGAUGUCGGCUCAUCACAUCCUGGGGCUGAAGUAGGUCCCAAGGGUAUGGCUGUUCGCCAUUUAAAGUGGUACGCGAGCUGGGUUUAGAACGUCGUGAGACAGUUCGGUCCCUAUCUGCCGUGGGCGCUGGAGAACUGAGGGGGGCUGCUCCUAGUACGAGAGGACCGGAGUGGACGCAUCACUGGUGUUCGGGUUGUCAUGCCAAUGGCACUGCCCGGUAGCUAAAUGCGGAAGAGAUAAGUGCUGAAAGCAUCUAAGCACGAAACUUGCCCCGAGAUGAGUUCUCCCUGACUCCUUGAGAGUCCUGAAGGAACGUUGAAGACGACGACGUUGAUAGGCCGGGUGUGUAAGCGCAGCGAUGCGUUGAGCUAACCGGUACUAAUGAACCGUGAGGCUUAACCUUACAACGCCGAAGGUGUUU